CUUCAAAUAUGCUGACUGGUAGGAUUCCUACAGAAUUGGUGAAUAUGAAGUUUCUUGAAGUGCUGAAUCUUUCCUAUAAUAACCUUGUGGGAGAAAUACCUCAAGGAAUGCAGUUUGGUUCUUUUUUGAAUGAUUCCUAUGAGGGAAACUUGGGCUUAUGUGGAGUUCCAUUGUCAGUGAAAUGUGGGGAGGAGCAUGAUCAACAUUCUUCAGAAACAUUGUGGAGAGAAGAGAAAUUUGGAUUUGGUUGGGAAGCAGUGGCUAUAGGAUAUGGGUGUGGAAUGGUAUUUGGAGUGGUGAUGGGAAGCUUUGUAUUUCUCAUGCGAAAGCCUGAAUUUCUUGUGAGAAUGUUUGGUGGUUAAGUUAGUUAUAUGCUGAAAAGGAACACUGUUGAGUUGAGGACUCAUGAAAAAGAAUAAAUCAGCCAUGCAAGUAUGAUACUUUAUAUGUUGUUUUCUUUUUCUUUAAUUGUGGUGAAUUUGUAAGAGUGUUUCAAUGUUUAUAAACCUUUAUAAUAAUAUUUCAUUUAUAAUAAUCUACAAUUAAAUUGAUUAUUUUUGUUUAUAUGCAAUAUUUGUUUUGUUUGAAGGAUUGUGAACCCCAUUAUAAUUUUGAAUAAUUUUCUAUAAAAUUCUAGUCUAUUUCUAAAUACGAUAAAUUUAUAAAAAAUAGAAAAUAACAGAGGAAACAAGGUUUUAGAUGAGUAGAAAGAAAGAAGUGUUUGUUUAACUUAAUAAUUGAAGAAAUAAAAACUCUAAAUUUCAUUGAAGGAUAAAAUCAGAGCAGUCUCUGACCCGCAAUGACUUCCAAGUGAAUGUAAGUGGCAGUAUUUGUUUGAUAUAAUAAAUUUGUCAAACCAUAGAUAUGCCUGUAAGCAAACUUAGUCAAAGAAAAAGUAAACUUUUUUUAUAUUAAGAAAAUGUAUAUAACUUUAAUACAACAAAUAAGAAGAGGUUAUAUUUAUAUAGAGUGUUUAUGAUAUAUUGUGAACAUAGUUAUUUUUUAUGGAGAGAAUAUUAAGUUGAGAGUUUUAAGUUGUGUAUUGAUUUUGAUAUUCUACAUGAGAUAUCCUCAUUCCAUUGAUAUUUGACUCAUAUAGAACAAUUUUUGUAUCUGGUGUGAGUUGAAAGAGAUUUUUAUAACCUAGUAUGUGGUAUGAAAACAAAAUUCAUAUCUAGUACACAUAGAAAUUUACCCUAUGACAUGAGUAAAUGUGUUUCUACUAUAUAGGUUUGUUGUGUAGGUUUGUUGUGUAGGUUUGUUGUGUGAGACAAUUUAGUAAAAAUAAUGUGACAAAUAUAAAUAUAUGAGUUUAAUUCUAUACAUGCAUCUUACAGAAGUAAAAUCAAGAAUGAGAUUUGAAAUGAGUUUUAUAAAUUAUAAAUAUGUACAUAUAUAUGAUUUAUUUUAAUAUAUCUAUACGUGAGAUUUGAAAACAUUUUUACACACUAAAUACUACUAAUAAAAUAUAUAAAUAUGAUUCAUGAGAUUUAUUAAAAGAAAAUUCGGCUGUUUUCUCUUACUCGGACUGGUGUCUGGAACCUCUUUGUUGUAUGAGGUAUUUGAAAGUCUGAUUUUUUGCGUGUUUAUCUAACGUUUUUCCCCAGUCUUGGUAGUUGUUGUGAGGUUUGUGCAGGUUUCAUCGGUAACUCCUAUCUGGCAAGGUUGGACUGAGGCUUGGAAGGUAUUGCGUGGAUGUGCAGGUGCCUUGGUCAUUCCUUUUUGGCAGGGUCGGAUUGAUGACUUUGUUUUGUGCUGCAGUAAAAGUGUUUUUGUUGUAUGCUUAUUGGUUUGGUGCUGGAUAUUUUACGGUGUUUGAAAUGUGGCAAAGGUUAUGUGGCGUGUUUUGGUUACUAUUGUGGCCAAGUCGGGAGGAUGCUAUGUGUAUUUUGUAAGGUAUUUUUGGCUUACGUAUCCUUCGUAUAAGGAUUGGUCUGACAUUUUUAGCAUUUGGGUUCUUGGUACAUCUUAGUCGGUUCAAAGUUAUGACUUAGUUGUUGGAUGGUGUGCCUUGUAUUGGUUUGUUGAGCUUGACUCUUGGGUAAGGUCCUCCAGCUUGAUGGCAAAGAUCUUGUUUAGUUGUUGGAUGUAUGUCCUUGUUUGAGGGUGUGACCUCUCUGGUGGGAUGAUAUAACUGUAUUUGUUGGGUUUCUUUACCUUGUCUGGGAUUUUAGCUUGAUCUGCAGUACAAUGUUUGUUGGGUCCUUAGUUGGUAGGGUUCUAGAAAACCUGUUUUUUGAGUUUUGUAUAAGAGUUGAGACACCCCUAAAGUGGCUCAUUUUAUUUUAUUUAUUCUUUGCUGAUUGAAACUUUCAUAUGAAAAAUAUGUUUAAAACUAACUUGUUAAUAUUUUCACAACAAAAGUAUACUUUCUAUAGCGGGGUUAAAAAAUAUAAAUAAUCACAUAAUACAUAUAUUCAGAUUUACCUGUUAAACAUAUUAAGACUGAAAAUCCUAUAUUCCAUCACUGAAAACAUAAAUAAAAUGUUUUCCAAAUUUCUAUUCAUUGUUUGAGGUUUUACGUUUUUCAUGAAAAUGUAAUAUUUGUAUAGAUUGAAGAUUUUUUUUUCUUCAAACUCUAUGUUCUCUAUAUUUGAUACAUAUCAUAAUAGCUAUAUUUUUUUUCUUGUUAAAUAUUUAAUUAAUAUAAAUUUAGUAAAAAACAUGUUCAACUUUCCAAGUCUAUUUUGCAUGAAAUAAUUUUAAUAAUAUGUUUUAAUGUUGUAUUAAAAAAUGAUAAUGUGAAUAAUUUUUUUAAAUUAUAAUUGUUGUAGGAUAGAAGAAGCAUGUAACAUAAUAGGAAAUAUUUAAUUAAUAUUUAAUUUUGUAAGUAUAUCGCUCAGGCUUCAAAGUUUUCUUUUCGUACUUGUGCUUUUCUUCCGUACGUGGUUCUCUAUUCGACCUUUUCACUUCAUCUUCUUACUUACCCUUUGCUCUGCAACGCGGAUUUUCUGCUUCUAAUCAAAAUCAGCAGCAACAAAGCAUAGCCAGGUACGUUUCAAAUCACAGUUCUUUUCUUCCUUCAUUCUCUCAUACUCAAAACAAACUCUCAUUCUGCACCUCAAAUGGCUUUACUUGCACCAGAGGUAACCCAGUAGCCGCUUCUUCCUUUCCUCGUUUCCCCUAAGAUAAAGUCUGCGUCUUUUGGACUUCUCAUGGCAUUUCAACUCGAAACCGAACCUGGGUCAUCGCCUAGGUCCAUUUCUACCACUAAUAAAAAAAGCUACGAUGAAAUGAGCAUUUCUGAGCUUGUUUCAGUUCUGCGUGUUGCGUUUCAAAUGAAGGAUUUUGAUGAAGUUGAAGAAGAGUUGGUGAACAGGGAAGCCAAACUUAGGGCAGAGAUUGGGCCACUCAAGGAGAAGAUUGAGCUGGAGAGGCUCAAUAGUAUUGAAGCCGAAGAAAGACUGAAAAUAAGAGAGGAGCAAUGUGAAAAGGGGAAGAGAGCCCAGGAGAAUUAUGAGCAGUUGUUGAAGGAAGUGAAGAAAAGUGUCCUGGUUGAAAACAUUACUAUUGAGGAGUUAAGGACAAAGAACGUUGCUUUAGAACGUGAAAUCUGUGAGCUGAAGGAGUUCAAGAAAAGCAUUCUAGAUGAAGGCAAAUUUGUGGCUGAACUAAGGGCCAAGAUCCGUUUGUUGGAGGAAAAGGUUGGGGAUAAGAGUGCUCUUGAUUCCCUUAACAUGAAGAACAUUGAAUUGGAGGAAGCAGUUAAGAAGAAUUUGACUGUCAUAGAAGGGUUUAGGACUGAAAAUGAUAAAUUGACAGACGAGAAGCACGAACUUAAGACAUUAUUUGAGUCUCUGGAGAGGAGAUAUAGUGAACUCCGCGUCAGUGAUGUGAAGUUGCACUGGGGAGCCUGUUACUUUUCAAAGGAAUGAAGAUACUCAUUACUCUGUUGAUGUCGGCACUGCUCAGUCUCCCAAUAAAGGGAACAAGGAUGAAGCUGUAGGUGCAUUAGGUAUGGAAAUGAACAUUUUGUUCACUUUGCAUUUCUCGCAUCUAUAAUACAGAUUUACAUUUAUAUAAUUUCCUCUAAAAUAUUAAAUUGGAUCAAACUGAAUGGAGUAAUACACUUUGGUCAUAUUUCUUCGUAUCUUGAACCGUGACGACUUAUUGAGAGAAGGAAAUGGCUAUUUUCGAGAACCAUGUUUUAGUAAACUAAUUGAAUUGGUGUGGUGAAGCAAGCAAUUCUUGCUCAAACUGGAUUAAUUGAUGACUGAACCAUUUUAAAUUAAACUAGUCAAAAACUCAUCAUAGUUUGGAACUAUUAGUACACAAUUUAGGAACACACAGUCCUCACAUCAUCCAAUCUUGUUGUUGAAGUAACGAUGUCAUAAUUAAGUUCAGCACAAGUUUGAGGUUUGAUGACCAAGUUUACACAAUGAAUUUAUUACUUUUGAAGAAUAGGCUGAGGUGUCUACUUGCAAAUGCAAGGUAUGGCAGCCUACAAAGACAUUCCUUGAACCCCCGCAAAGAUGGAGCUAUAUAGCGCCAAAUUACCCCUGUUUCCAGCCUAUGGUGUCUACAGUGCAAUGAUGCCUAAGGUUUAUUUAACGUCACAGCAUUGUUCCUGUUGUCUUCCUUAGAUGUUCAACUCAUGGUUUGAUUGGUAAUUUGGUAGAUCUAUAAGAUUUGAGGGUCCUAACUUUAAGCUGUAAAGUUGAGGUUUUCUUCUGCUUUAUGUUCUUUUAUAUUUUGUUUGCGUAGGUAACUGUAAAUCAUCUCUUUUGUGUUUUCUUUCCUUCUUAUGAUAAUAUUUUCUUUCAAUAAGAACACAAGAAAGAGCAAACGGAAGCAGGCAAAGGUAACUCAUUUUGUUUGUUCCAUACAAUCAAGAUUACAUGUAUCUGCUCUGAAUAAUAAUACGUUGUUAAUUACUUGAAGAGCCCGAGACUGGAUUUCUCAAGAAAUGCCGAGACAACAACCAAAUUUUUAAUUGAAUUACAGAAUCUACUAGUCUUUAUUCUCCUAGAUGUUGUGUGAAGUAUAUCAAAUUUAACACAUUUUUUCUGUACCUGCAGGGGUAAAAUUCAAAUUGGAAAAGGAGAUCAUAGACCUAGGUGGUGAUGAUGAUGAUAGGUGUACAUCACAAGGAUUGCAUGGAGAGAAAGUUAAUUCUCAAAUAAUUGCAGAAAAUGAACAUCUAAAAAGGGUUGAAAUGAUGAAAAGAAAACGUGCUUCUGAUAUUCAGACUUCUACUUCCACAUCUAUAUCCUCUGCUGAUUUAUUUGAAAUCGAUAAUCGCCCUGCAAAGAGAAGUAAGUUCUCUAACCAAUAUUAUAUGUGAAAGCUUAGAUUAGUUCUUAGUUUAAAUUAUCAGCGUGUUGGAAUUGUAUAUCUAGCUAUGGUAGUCACACUUUGUAUCCUUCUGAAUAAUUAUGACACUGGCAUGAAAUAUGACUUUGCUCGAUGACUGUUGUUUAUUGGAAAAUCUGACUAAUUAUAUUAACUAGUUUUCUCACCUAAUCAAAUUUUUAUCUUUUAUUGCUUUCAUCUUCAAAGCUCAGAUUUGAUAAUUGUUGUAACUUUGGAUUGCCCGAUAGAUUGAAUAUAAAUUCUCUAGUAAAUUUACUAAUUCACAUCUAUCAAUUAUCUAUUUCACUUCUUUUUCCUCUAUUAGGAUUUGUUUAAUUGUUUCUCAUCUUAUUCUAUUAGUGUUUGAAGAUGUAGGUAAUAUUAAUUGUAUAUUCUCCUCUGUUAAGCUAUUUUCUCAGAUAGGAAAACCUUAUUCUGUGUAAUGUGACAUUUGCCACUUAUAAUGAUUUCAAUUCACCAGUUUAGAAUAAUCAAUUUAAAACACAAUUUCAUUACUUGUGGAUAUUUUGUGUCUAAAGAAGAGAUGUUAAUUAAUAAUUUCUUUACUUUUAUUUUCAUUAUGAUAUGUAUUAAUUAUUCUUCCAUGUUUAGCGCCAUUGGCAACUCACACACUGGGCACUCCCUGGGUUUCCUCACCAUCUCUCUCACGCCAAUCUAGGUAGGUCCUCAAAUUCUCUCUCUGUCUAUUAUUUAAGAAAUUUGUUUGAUGCAGCAUGUUUUGAUUGAAUGUUAUCAUGAAAUGUUUUUUUCAAAUUAUAAGACAAUAUUUGUGUUUUUCCCCUGUUGUGACCUUUGUUUCGACAAUGUGAACAUUUUUCAGCUUAUUAGGAACUGCCUCAUCCAUUUCAUUACGGAUGCAAUUUGUAGUUAGUCUUUCGGAUUCUUUUCUUUGUAUGUGUGGGUCGGAAUGCAGCUCAUUUAUAAUGCAGAUAUUAUGUAAUUUUUUUUGUAUUUAUUUGUGUGACUUGUAGUUUAUCCAUUCCAAUGGCUGGUCAUCAAAGACUCCCUUCAGACAUGUCUCUUUUACGUCUCCAAGACAAACAUGUGACUAAGACAGUUUGGGAAGGGAACGAAAGAUUACUUCGUCCACGACGCCAUGCAAUAUGGAUUAUGAACCAUGCAGAUUUGGUCCAUCCUCGUGUUAAAGCCAUGAUGGAUGGCGUUGGAUUCGGACACCUGCUCACCUUUUCCAAUAUAGACAUCAACCAUCACCUGGUGAUGGCUUUAGUGGAGAGGUGGAGAACUGAGACACACACAUUUCAUCUUCCACACGGAGAAACCACUGUGACGUUAGAAGAUGUCUCCGUGCUAUUGGGUCUUCCGAUUGAUGGAGAACCUGUUACCGGCUUCACCAAUGGGGAUUGGGUGUCUAUGUGCAGACACUUGUUGGGGAUCAUACCCCCUGGAAAUGUUGUCAUAGGAAAUACAAUAAGAUUGUCAUGGCUAAACAACAACUUCCAUCAACUUCCUGAUGAUGCAUCUGAAAAUGUCGUUGCUCACUAUGCACGGGCACAUAUUCUUACCCUCAUUGGGAGUUUACUUAUGCCAGAUACAUCGGGGUCUCGGGUGCAUUUGAUGUAUUUGUUAUUAUUGGAUGAUUUGAAUAACGUCUCCAGUUAUAGUUGGGGUUCAGCUGUUCUUGCCUGUUUAUAUCGUGCAUUAGAUCACGGUAUUAACUUCAACCAGGACAAUAUUGGUGGUUGUAUGCUGCUCCUUCAGUGUUGGGCAUGGGAACGCAUUAAGUGCAUCUCUCCUUCUUUGCCACCCCUAAGUGCAGAAGACAUUGCUUCUGGACUUGGUUAUCCACUUGCAAAAAGGUAUAAACAUUAUAACCCAUUUACUUUCCACAAAACUUGUUAAUACGCCUACAUUAGUAACUUGUUUGUUAAACCCUCAAACUUCAAAUUGCUUAUUACAGGUGGUCACGUGCACUCUCUCAGAGGCAACACCAACCUACAAGUUCAGUGUCAUUAAUAAGGUCAAUGUUGGACCAGUUACAGUCGAAACAGGUUAUCUUUUAUAUUCAAUUUUCAAUCCUCAUGUUAUCCAUUGUUGCCAUUGACUUAUUCUAAUGAAAUGGUACUGCAGUUCAUCUGGUGUCCAUACACCGAGGAUGAUAUUGCUGCAUUGAUCAUUGGUGAGGUGUCUUGUGUUUGUCGAGCUGUUGUUCCGUUGAUUUGUUUUGCAACAGUUGAAUUUCACCAGGCUGAUCGGGUCAUGCGACAAUUUGGCUUUCGACAAACCAUUCCCACGGAUCCGCUAAACCUGGAUCAACUUCAUAAAGAGGAUAUGAGGGGCCGCACAGAGAGGUAUUGGCCACAAUACCAUGAAAGAUGGAUAGUGCUAUGGAAUGAUCGACAUAAUCGACUCAUUCAAGGUGUUCAAUUUAAUGGUAAUGGUCAUUUGCGUGACACCACCACGUAUAUGCAAUGGUAUAUUAACCAUACCAUUCGCUACAUAUCACUGCCACAACAAACUUCGGAUGAAGAUGUAAGCUUAAAUACUAACCAACCCAUUUGGUCAUGUACUUUUACUUGUCUGACAAUUUCCAUUGUUUAUUCACAGUAUGACAUGCCAGUGAACUGAUUAUUCGAUAGAUAUAAAUACAUCAACGAUGGCAAAGAGAAACACCAAGAAGGAAUUGUACCAUUUAGAAAGUUGUGAGUCAAGAAUAACAUAGCUAGAUUAGAAAACCCUAUUAUUUUGUUGGGCAGAGGUCCCUCUAAUUUGUUACGUGAUAUAUCCAAGUAAAUGAGGUGUUGAAGAUUUGAAAUUGUUGAUGGCAGCUCACCUUGGAUAUUGUUCUCUCUUAAAUUCAAUUUUUCAAAUCUGUUUGAUUGAUGAAAAACAUUUGGUAUUUGACCACUGAGAUGAUUUUUAUAGAGAAGCAGAACAUUUAGAUGUGGAAGGGUUAAGUGUGAGGAUGGAAUUGAACCAUUGAGGGAAUUGUCCGAGAGGUCCAAUAAAGUAAGACUUGUAAGGUUAGAGAAAGAAGGAGGGAUUGACCCUUGGAAUUUACAAAAUGAGAUUUGUAAGACGUUGAGAGAAGCUGAACUACAACUCAGGCUUGGAAGUUGGGCAUGAAGGUCAAAAUUAUAUGAUAGAUAUAGGUAUUGUAGAUUUGGCAAACAAAGAAUGUCAUCUGUCAACUUUCCUUUCAACCCAGUUCCUCUAAGACUUAGAGUGAUCAGAGAGGAAGACAAAUUGAGUGAGCUCAUUGAAGUUGAUGACAAAUCUGUAAAACUCAAAACUAGCACCCUUAAUUCGGUUGCAUUUUGGAGCAUCCUCUUCCAUGUGCCUUCCUUCCACAUUAACUUAUGAUACCCAGAGCAAGAGAGAUGAAGUGAUUGUAAUUUGGAAAGAUGUGAGAUUUGAGGAGGAAUUUCACCUUCAAAGUUUGAAGAAGACAAGUUGAGGUGUGUGAGGUGCGCAAACUGACCUAUUCGAGAUGGAAUGUGAGAGUUGGAGAAGUCAUUGAAAGCAAGAUUGAGUGAUUGCAUAUGAGAAAGAGUGAAAAGGGUACUGUUUGCAUUGAUUUGACCCUUAAGCCCACCACAUGUAAGGUCGAUGGCGGUAACAUGACCAGAAAUGGUGUCACAUUUGAGUCCAGACCAAGUGCAACAAUCUGUUCCAUUUUCCCAUGUUGCUAUGGUUGGAUAAACCUGGUCGCAAUAACGAUCAUCAUUCAUAGUUAAGGAGGCCUUGAAGUGAAGCAAUGCAAGGUUGUCAUGGGGGUGACAGAAGGAAUGGGAGAAUGAAAAAUGAAAGAGCAGAAAAAGGCAACAGAGAUGAAUUAGUAUAAAGGCAACAGAAAAAGGCAACAUAAUAACACAGAGAGUUAGUAUAAAGGAGAUAUAGAUGGAAGGAUAAGGAAUUAAAGAUUGUGGUCCUAGACUCAUAGUUUGUCAUAGAAAGAAAUUUCAAAUCCUUCUGUUCAACUGGUUAGAAGUCUUUGUCGUGAUUAAAGCAUGCAUGACUUGGGUUCCUAUUUCGCUUCAAGAAAGCCAAAGUCAUAAUUUACUAAUCAAUGGAGUAAUAAUAUGUCAAAUUUCUAGCCUAACCAUUAUGGAUCGUUCCUUGUACUGCCACUUACGUUGACUUGGAAGUCAUUGCGGGUCAGAGUCGACACAGUCAUGCUCUGAUUUUAUUCAUCAAUGAAAUUUACAGUUUUUAUUUCUUCAAUUAUUAAGUUAAACAAACACUUCUUUCUUUCUACUCAUCUAAAAACUCGUUUCCUCUGUUAUUUUCUAUCUUUUUUUAAAUAUAUAGAAACUGACAUUUUAUUUGCGAGGAAUAGAUAUAAUGACUUUUAUAGAAACUGACAAAUACAACUAUAUUUUUUUUGGAUAAAUAGACAAUUAAGUACAAUAUGCCCUUAAAUCCUCCAGAUUUUCAUCAUUAUCUAUAAACUUUUUCUUUGUUUCAGUUUCAAUCAGUGAUCAUCGGAUUUGUCCAAAGUGGAGUUGGACCUCACGCUGUACUCAGCAACAAGUUGAGCAUGUGAAGAAUGAGAGCCUUUAAAAACAUCAUUAUUGUUAUUAUUUUUUUUAUCAGCAAGAAAAGAAAUAAUAAAUGUGGCUCACUUUAGGGGUGGUCGUCCAACCCCUCUUUCAAAGCAAUAGAGACAUACACCUCAAGAAAAUCCCGUCUCCCUAUCCUGCCACAACUAGCUAAAAAACUAUUUAAAAUCCAAAGACCAACCCCACCACUCUAUCAGCAACUAUUAAUUGAGUACAUACAUACUAGGGGAUCAAGUGAAGGAGACCCACAUGCCCACUUCUCCUUCCCCGCCCCAUUUCUGGGACGGGCCUCGCUGUCGCCUUUGGCUCGAGCUAAUCUCCCGGGAACUAGGCACCAAUCAGAGAACAAGAAACUUGUUGAAUGUAUCUUUGAUGAGAUCCAAGACCAAACUUUCAUUUGUGCUAAGGAGAAGACUUCAUAAUAGUCUACCACUCCUCCGUUGAAUAAAUAAUUAUUUUUAUGUUCAAAUCUCACUUAUGAACGCAAUCCAAACAUUACCUAAAAUAAGAUUAACUGAAGUGGUCGCAUCAAGAAUUUUAAACGUCUCGAAAUGUGACCCAAGAGAGAGAAGAUUUACCGAACCCACUCCUAACCAAGUGUAACAAAGAUUCCAACCUAGCCAAACGACUCUGCAAUUGAAAAACAGAUGACUUGUUGACUCCUCUAACACCCUACACAAACAACAAAGAUUGCUCUCAACAUGAACCCCUCGUCUCUCCAGGUUAACCUUGGUGCCACAAUCAGCCUCAAGUUUAUCUCUGAACCCAGGAAAAACUCCAACAACACUGUCUCUGCUGUCUAGUUGUACUCCUCGAACAAUCCUUUGUUUCCUAUAGCCAACAGCUAUAAGAGGACCCACCCAAGAGAAGGUAAAAGAGCUCAGAAUUCCAGCAUAUGAGAAAGGGGUAACAGUGUCCCCACCCCUGGUCCCUUUUGAUCUCAAGGCAUCACCAUCAUUUGCGCCACCAUUCAAAAGAGGUUCCUGAAUACCGUUAUUUUCUUUUUCUGGAACCUGACCUUGGUUUUUCACAAAAUACCCCACGUAACAGAAUAACAUACCAACACAAGUGGAAACCACAUCAGAAACCAAGUACUGAGUUGGCAAAGCAACGCGUCUCUCUGAUAUAACAACAAUGUCCACCACGAAGCAAUAGCAAGAAACAGAGAGGUACAGGACGCACCAAGCUCUGAAGAGGAAUGAGAACCUUCUUUCGGCUGAACUGAAGAACCCCUUGUUCAAGCAAACACAAACAACGCCCCACGCAACUGUUUUGAGCACCAAAUCCAAAAGGGUCACGAGCUCUUCCUCUGACCAGCCACUAGAGUAGCAGUAGAAGUAAUUGAAGAAACAGAGGAGAAAACUGAAAGCAGAAACACCCAGAGAAACAAACACGGUCGUUUUAAAGAGGGUGUUGUCGAGCUUCUCCUUAGACUCAUCCCUGACACGUGUCGUGAAUUUCUUCCAAACCCAUGACAAUGAAACCGCGACAAGCAACAGAAGGUGGAGGAAGCCGGAUAAAACGGGUUGGAGGAGAACAUCUUUAGAAAGGUGUAUGUGGGAAAGGGGCAAGAAAAGAGGCAAGAAAAGAGGCAACAUGGCAAUUAGAAUGAACGACGAAAAACAACAUGUGCUGAACUCAAAAUGAGAUGUGUAGUGUAAGAUUGUGUGAAAGAUGAAGUAUUUGAGAUCUAUAAAGAGUAGGAAAUUGUGAUCAGAAAAGUGAACUAAAAAAGGAAUUGAAGAGAGAAAUAGCAGAAGAGAUACAAGAAUCUGAGUUUAAUAUGACAGAGACUAUGCCAACACUAUGCCAACAAUGGAAGAGAGAGUCUGUGAAAAUGCAGAAGUUUUAAGAAUGGUUCAUGAUAUCUUUACUUCAUAUAAUUAACAUAUAUUUAUAUAACUAACAUAUAAAAUUGCACCAUUUGAUAAAAAAGUUUUAAGAAUGUAUGAUGAUAUCUUUACUUCAUACACUUUAUAUAAUAUUUAAGACAAUGACAUUAAUAUUAAACAAUGUAAUGAGUGUUUUAAAUUUAUAAAACUGUCGAAUAUAUCUUUCAUAUCUUGAAUUAAUUAGUCAUUUACCACAGUCACUCAUACAGAUACAGAUGAAUGUUGUUAUCUAAUAUAAUAAUACAUUUAAACAAAGCAUAAUUGAUUAUAUCUAAUAUCUAUGUUAAGUUAUUUUAAUAAUUUACUCAUCUGGGCAGAAACUUGAUCGAACUAGUGAUAAAAUAUUUGCAGCACUAAACAUUUUAAAUAUUUGAUCAACUAAUAAAAUUAGGUAUAGUUACCUUUUUGAUUUCUAGGAUAAUAAUCAAUUAAGAAGCACUUACCUACAUCCAUUAUUAUGAUUUCCGAGAUAGAAGGUCUUACAGAGAACAAAUUGGUGGUUUAUUUCAGGGCAUAUGUAUACUUUUCAAAUUUCUAUUCAUUGUUUGAGGUUUUACGUUUUACAUGAAAAUGUAAUAUUUGUAUAAAUUGAAGAUUUUUUUUCUUCAAACUAUAUGUUCUAUAUAUUUGAUACAUAUCAUAAAAGCUAUAUUUUUUUUCUUGUUAAAUAUUUAAUUAAUAUAAAUUUAGUAAAGAACAUGUUAAACUUUCUAAGUCUCUUUUGCAUCAAAUAAUGUGAAUCAUAUGUUUUAAGGUUGUAUUAAAAAAAAUGAGAAUGUGAAUCAAUUAGUAUUUAAUUUUGUAAGUUUACUGAACUACUUCAAAAUUUUGUCUUGCUUUUCUUCCGUACGUGGUUCUCUAUUCGACCUUUUCACUUCAUCUUCUUACUUACCCUUUGCUCAGUAACACGGAUUUUCUGCUUCUAAUCAAAAUGAGCAGCAACAAAGCAUAGCCAGGUACGUUUCAAAUCACACUUCCUUUGUUCCUUCAUUCUCUCAUACUCAAAACAAACUCACAUUCUGCACCUCAAAUUUCAUUUCUUCCUACCAACUUUACUUGCGCCAGAGGUAACCCAGUAGCGGCUUCUUCCUUUCCUCGUUUCCCCUCAGAAAAAGUCUGCGUCUUUUGGACUUCUCAUGGCAUUUCAACCCGGAACCGAACCUGGGUCAUCGCCUAGGUCCAUUUCUGGCACCAAUAAAAGAAGCUACGAUGAAAUGAGCAUUUCUGAGCUUGUUUCAGUUCUGCGUGUUGCGUUUCAAAUGAAGGAUUUUGAUGAAGUUGAAGAAGAGUUGGUGAACAGGGAAGCCAAACUUAGGGCAGAGCUUGGGUCACUCAGCGUCAGUGAUGUGAAGUUGGAAGAAAAUAUCAUGCCUUUGAGGAGUGAAGAUGACUCUGAUUGUGGGAACACUGAAGUGGAGCUUAAUCUUGCAGUUUCUUACGCUAUCAAAUAUGAAAAGGAUGUUGGUGACCACGAGCUUGAAAAUGACACUGGGGAGCCUGUUUCUUUCCAUAGGAAUGAAGAUACUCAUUACUCUGUUGAUGCCGGCACUGCUCAAUCUCCCGAAAAAGGGAACAAGGGUGAAGCUGUAGGUUCAUUAGGUAUGAAAAUGAAAAUUCUGUUCUCUUUGCAUUUCUUACAUCUAUAAUACAGAUUUACAUUUACAUAAGUUCCUCUAAAAUAUUGAAUUGUAUCAAACUGAAUGGAGUAAUAUGCACUUUGGUCAUAUUUCUUGGUAUCUUGAACCAUUAUGACUUAUUUGAGAGAAGGAAAUGGCUACUGGCAAGAACCAUGUUUAGUAAAUUAUUUGAAAUGGUGUGGUGAGGAAGCAACUCUUUCUCAACUGGAUUAAUUGAUGACUGAACCAGAUUACAUUAAAAUAGUCAAAAACUCAUCAUAGUUUGCAACUAUUAGUAGAUACUCCUCACAUCAUCCAAUCAUGUUGUUGAAGUAACAAUGUCAUAAUUAAGUUCAUCACAAGUUUGAGGUUUGAUGGCCCAAGUUUACACAAUGAGUUUGUUACUUUUGAAGAAUAGACUAAGGUGGUCUACCUUCAACUCAUGGUUUGAUUUGUAGAGUCAUGGUCAUCUAUAAGAUUUGAGGGUCCUAACUUUAAGCUGUAAAGUUGAGGUUUUCUUCUGCUUUAUGUUAUAUUGUAUUUUGUUCCCUUAGAUAACUGCAAAUCAUCUCCUUUAUGUUUUCUUUCUUUCCUGCCGAGACAACAACCAAUCUGAGAAAUUCCGACACUUUGGUCAUUGUUAUUGGUAUUACGGAUUAUUUUUUUUUAUCAGCAAAGAAUUAAAUAAAUUAAAAUGGGAUACUUUAGGGGUAUCCUAACUCCUUUACAGAUAAAGUAUAUAGAUACAUAGGAUGAUAUCUAUCUAUAUGACACUUCUUCCCUUCCUAACAAAAAACUACCGUCCAUGGAACAUAAAACAGCUAACACCUAAAAACAGGGAUCAUAUUCUUGAUGAUUCAAGCAAGUACUUCUUUUAGAGCAAAGACCCAGCAAUAUCAGCCUUGUAGAGCAACAACCUUGAUUUGGCCUUUUAACAUCAUCUAACACAGCUUGUAUGAGAAAAGCCAGAGUUGCCUUGAGCUUGCAGUAAGCUAUUCCUGCAGUAACUGAGCCAAAAGCCAGAGAAACCAGAGGGACCAAAAACAGCAAGUACAAGCAACAACAGCUGCAACUGCAACUGCAUAAUUCAGGUUUUUUAUCACAUGACCCAUUAGUGGCCUUAUGCCUUUAGCUCCAGCUACUACACGUCCAUCUAAAAAACAGUUUGCUUCAUGCCAUGACCCGUCUGUUCUUACAGCACCUCCAACGUCCUCCAUUACCUUUGCAUUUGGAAUCUCUCCUUCAAAUUUGUUUCCCGAUAAAUCAAUGCUCAAAAAGUUUGUUGGAAUUUUUUUGAAUGGCACACUCGUUCCUUUUGUUGUUACAGUCAUAGGUGAAUAAUAUACUGCAAAACUAAAUUCCCAUUGCAGGUAUUGCUGUGAAUUGCCAACCACCUCAUCUUGAACAAUAUUCUUAUCGCUUCAAAAUUUUGCAUGUAAUCUUCUGGAAUUGGGCCGCUGAAGUUGUUGGAUGAAAUAUCAAAAAUAAUUAAACUGGGUAAUCCAUGCUCGGUCUUGAAUAUGACAAUGGGACCAUGCAACUUAUUAGCCCGCAAAACCAACACUUUCAAAAACGGUAGAGUUCGAAGCCAGUGGGGAAAUGUAUCUUCUAUUUGAUUGUUGCCAAGAUUUAAAAUCUUUAAUCGCAUGCAGUUGGACAAAGAUUGUGGCAAAGGACCUUCUAAUCGGUUGUCAUUGAGAUUCAGACUCUGGAGACUGUACUUUGAAAAGGUAUUUGGCAAAGUUCCAUUAAGUCUGUUCAUUUCUAGAUUCAAAAUGAAAAGGGACGAUGAACUCGCAAGGCAUUGUGGAAUGGUGCCUGUCAACUUGUUGUUGGACAACACAAGAAUCUCAAGUGAACUUGCAUUGCAAAUUGACGAAGAGAUACCACCAGUGAGUAAGUUGUAACUAAGGUCAAGUUUUCUGAGUUGGUAGUUCCUAGAGAAUUGGUCCACUGGUGUUGUCAACCAAUUGGGCACCUUUCCAUUCAAUUUGUUGUUGGACAAAAUGAGAAUUUCCAAAACUGGGACUUUACUUAAUUUUGGAAAUUCGGUUAAACCCAAAGAAGACAAGUCCAACUUCUUUAAGCGGGAGAAACUAUAAUUGACACUUGAUUCAAACUUUAGUGAUAAUUGACUUAAAUUUGAAAGGUUAAGAAUUUCAAGAUUUUGGAACUUGGAGAAAAGUGAAAAUUUGACAGAACCGCUGAAGUUGUUCCAUGACAGAGAUAAAUAAGUAAGGUUGACAAGGUUGAAAAUUGAUUCUGAAAUAUUGCCCUGCAGCUUGUUGUCACUCAAAACUAGAUCCUGCAAGGAAUAUGAGGAGAUUGCAGGUAUAUGGCCUGUGAACUGAUUAUUCGAUAGAGAUAAAUACAACAACGAUGGCAAAGAGAAACACCAAGAAGGAAUUGUACCAUUUAGCAUGUUGUCAGUCAAGGAUAACAAAGCUAGAUUUGAAAACCCUGCUAUGAGGUUUUACGUUUUACAUGAAAAUGUAAUAUUUGUAUAAAUUGAAGAUUUUUUUUCUUCAAACUGUUGAUGGCAGCUCACCUUGGAUAUUGUUACAAUUCAAAUCCAAUUUUUCAAAUCUGUUUGAUUGAUGAAAUACAUUUGGUAUUUGACCACUGAGAUGAUUAUAACAGAGAAGCAGAACAUUUAGACGUGGAAGGGUUAAGAGUGAGGAUGGAAUUGAACCAUUGAGGGAAUUGUAUGAGAGGUCCAAUAAAGUAAGACUUGUAAGGUUAGAGAAAGAAGGAGGGAUUGGCCCUUGGAAUGCACAACCUGAGAUUUGUAAGACGUUGAGAGAAGCUGAACUACAUCUCAGGCUUGGAAGUUGGCCAUGAAGUUCAAAAUUACCUGAUAGAUCUAAGUAUUGCAGAUUUGGCAAACAAAGAAUGGCAUUUGUCAACUUUCCCUUCAACCCAAUUCCUCCAAGACUUAGAGUGAUGAGAGAGGAAGACAAAUUGAGUGACCUCAUUGAAGUUGAUGACAAAUCUGUAUAAUUCAAAACUAGCACCCUUAAUUCGGUUGCAUUUUGGAGCAUCUUCUUCCAUGUGCCUUCCUUCCACUUUAACUGUUGGAGAGAGAGAUCAAGUGAUUGCAAUUUGGAAAGAUGUGAGAUUUGGGGAGGAAUUUCACCUUGAAAGUUUGAAAAAGACAAGUUGAGGUGUGUGAGGUUCACAAACUCACCUAUUGGAGAUGGAAUCUGAGAGUUAGAGAAGUCAUUGAAAGCAAGAUUGAGUGAUUGCAUAUGAGAAAGACUGAAAAGGGUACUGUUUGCAUUGAUUUGACCCUGAAGCCCACCACAUGUAAGGUCGAUGGCAGUCACAUGACCAGAAAUGGGGUGGCAUGUGACUCCAGACCAAGAGCAGCAAUCUGUUCCAUUUUCCCAUGUUGCUAUAGUUGGAUAAACCUGAUGGCAAUGAUAAGAAGAAUACAUAGUAUUAAUAGUUAAGGAGGCCUUGAAGUGAAGCAGUGCAAGGUUGUCAUGGGGGUGACAGAAGGAAUGGGAGAAUGAAAAAUGAAAGAGCAGAAAAUUGCAACACACAGGAAACAACCACCACAUUCCCAUGGAUGAUUUCAUUCUAACUUGUGUGCAGUCUACAGUGGUCACAUAGACUUAGUAUAAAGGAGAUAUACUUGGAUGAAUAUAUUAAAUGUUGAGAUAAGGUUUUGGUGGUUAAAAUGAAGCUUUGAUUGUGGUCCUAGACUCCUAAUUUGGCAUUGUCAAAGAAAGAAAUUUCAAACCCUUCUGUUCAACGGAUCAGAAGUCAUUGUCGGUGGAUCAUUGACUUGGAAGUUAUUGCGGGUUAGAGUCGUCAUUUUAGAAUUUUUAUUUCUUCAAUUAUUAAGUUAAACAAACACUUCCUCUGUCAUUUUCUAAUUUUUUUUAAAUAUAUAGAAACUAACAAGUACAACAAUUAUUUUUUUGGAUAAAUAGACAAUAGUACAAUAUGCCCUAAAAAGUGGGAGUUUUUGUUUUGAUUUUCCAUCUUAAAACUUAUGUUUUGUAUCUUUAUCCUACAGGGAGUGGCCAGAGGAGAUGAGUUGUUUUUAAAACCACUUAAUAGCUGAUAUUACUCUUACUUAAUUCUUAAUGAUCUAUGCAGAUACAGUUAGACCCCUAGACCCCUAAAUGAUGAUGAUGAUGUCUGAAAAGGCCUCCUAAAUGCACUUCAAUUUCUUCUAAUUGACAAGAAAAUAUUUUGUUUUUGUGGCCGGCCAAGUGAAGUCUGAAAUUAAACAAAUGGCACAAUGUUGGCGCUUUCACACUUUCCUAUUACAAAAUGCCAAAAAUAAGGAACAAAAUAACAUAACGGACAUGGCACAAGUUUAAGGGCAGAUUUAGUAGAUAUCAAGAAAACCAAAGAAAAUGAAAAACGUAAUAAAGGAUAAUACAUCAAAUUCAAUAUUGCACUGUAGAUUUGGGUUGAAACUGUUUGUCUAAAAACUUUCCUAUUUAUGUAUUAAAAUGAUUCUUGAUCCAAUGAUGAAAACAUCUUAUGGUAGUGUAUACAGAUUCCAGAUCUGAUGUAACAUAAAAGCUUACCAAUAUCAAUUUAUAUGAUGCAUUUAGAAUCCGUUUGUAACUUGACAUGCAUCAUGCUAUUUGUCGGUGGAAGUAUCAGUAAGGUACAUUUUCCAUAAAGAAAUUACAAUUCAUGUAAUCCUCCAGAUUUUCAUCAUUAUCUAUAAACUUUUACAAUCAGUGAUCAUCGGAUUUGUCCAAACUGGAGUUGGACCUCACGGUAUACUAUAAGAAAAUCAUGAAAUAGAAACCAAUUGGUCUCUAGCAAUUUUGUUUGGGUGUGAUACUCCUUAAUAAGUCCCGCACCAAUGUCUAGCCAAAUCAGAAACAACUCAUCUGUAGGAUAAAUACAAAACAUAAGUUUUAAGAUGGAAAAUCAAAACAAAAACUCCAACUUCUUAGGGCAUAUUGUACUUAAUUGUCUAUUUAUCCAAAAAAUAUUGUUGUAUUUGUCAGUUUCUAUAUAUUUAAAAAAAUAGAAAAUAACAGAGGAAACGAGGUUUUAGAUGUGUAGAAAGAAAUAAGUGUUUGUUUAACUUAAUAAUUGAAGAAAUAAAAACUCUAAAUUUCUGUGAUGAAUAAAAUCAGAGCAUAACUGUGUCGACUCUGACCCGCAAUGACUUACAAGUCAAUGCUAGGAACGAUCCAUAAAGGUUAGGCUAGAAAUUUGAUACUAUUUGUUUGACAUAUUGGUCCAGCCAACUGUCCUACCAUUAAAACGACCAUUGAUGUGCCUAUAAGCAUUUUAUUAUUACUCCAUUGGUUAGAAAAUUGUGACAAAUUUAAUCACGGCAAUGACUUGACUUCUAAUAAUCAGUUGAACAAAAGGGUUUGAAAUUUCUUUCUAUGACAAACUAUGAGUCUAGGACCACAAUCAAAGCUUCAUUUUAACCACCAAAACCUUAUCUCAACUUUUAAUUUGGCUCUAAAUAUCCAUCUUAUAAUUUGUAUAUCUACUUUAUACUAAGUCUGUGUGACCACUCUAGACUGCACACAAGUUAGAAUGAAAUCAUCCAUGGAAAUGGGGUGGUUGUUUCCUGUGUGUUGCCAUUUUCUGCUCUUUUAUUUUUUGUUCUUCAGGGUAGAUUCAGUGCAAAAAGUACCCUUUUCAGUCUUUCUCAUCAGUCAGUUUCAUAUUUGUUUCCUGAAAUCUUGAUUGCUGAUCAAAGCUUCUAAUGGUUGAAGUACCAGAAAUUGUUUUAGAAAAGUGUUGAAUGAGUGGGGCUUUGCAGACUCCAACUAAACGUGAUAGUUCUUGCUGCAGUCAAAUUAAUAGCUGAUAGCAAAUGCUGACUAUAAUCACAGGUACAAAGACAACGAAAACCUGCCAUGCAGCCUGAGACAUCACUGCUAUAAUUCCCAAAAGUUGGAUCAUAAUGAAGGCAAAUGAUGCAAUUUGAUGAGGACAACAUCGUUGGAAAGGUGCCUGUGAGACAACAUGGCAGUUAAAAUGAAGUUGAAAAACAAAAUUUGCUGAACUCAAAAUGAGAUGUGUAGUUGGAAGAAUGGGACAGUAAAAGAGAGUUUGAAGAUUUAGAGGUUAUAAGCAGUGGAAAUUGAUUGCAGAAAAGUGUAGUAAAAAAUGUAAGAGACAAAAGGGUAACUUGGUUAGGAAGAUUGUAACUUGGUAGGCAAGACUCUGAGUUUAGUAGAAGGAACAGAAUAGUAGAAAAAGUUCUUUUUUAUAUUUUAUUGUUGUCGGUCUAGGUAGAAGGUGACGUGAAAUUAAGAUACACUAUUACUUUAUUAUAAGAUGGCUUGGUCUUUAUUAAAUAAUAAAUGUAAUCCUAUAUCCACUAAAUCAAUCACAACCUAACAACUCUUUAUUAUUUUCCUAAAAUUACUAAUAUUCAAAUGAAAUGUUAAACAUUCAACUAUUUUAUAUUUAGUAGUUAUUGUAACACUUAAAAUUAUAUAUUUGGACAAAAAUAUGCAUACUACAACUUAAGCUUUGAUCACUCUAUUGCAUACUUCAUCACACUCUCAGCAGCAACAAAGCAUAGCCAGGUACGUUUCAAAUCAUGAUAUUUACCAAUUAUAUAUUUCUCCCACAAGAUUAUUAUAGGAAAGAUUCAGCACUUCAAGAAAGUUCAUAUUCACCAAUUCUGUAGGAAUCCCUACCAGUCAACAUAUUUGAAGAGAGAUCCAAUGACUCCAAUUUUAUCAAAUUGGUCUGCCUUGGCAGGGUUCUGCUUAAGAAAAGCAAGGUUUUGGUUCUUGAUGAAGCCACUGCAUCAGUUCUCCAAUGGUAAUAACUGUGGAGUCAACAAACUCUUAGGCAACAUUUCACUGACUCCACAGUUAUUACCAUUGCACACCGAAUAACUUCUGUUCUUCACAGUGAUAUGGUUCUGCUUCUUAGUCAGGGUUAGGAAAGCCUCUCAUUCUUCACAUACCAUUCAUAUUCUUUGCAUCUUCAUCUUUCAUUUUCUGAUUUGGCUAGACAUUGGUGCGGGACUUAUUAAGGAGUAUCACACCCAAACAAAAUUGCUAGAGAAUAAGUCAUCAUCUUUUGUCUGGAGGAUUACAUGAAUUGUAAUUUGUUUAUGGAAAAUGUGCCUUACUAGUACUUCCACCAAUAUAUAGCAUGAUGCAUAUCAAGUUACAAACGGAUUCUAAAUGCAUCAUAUAAAUUGAUAUUGGUAAUGAUAUAGUAAGCUUUCAUGUUAUAUCAUUUUGCUGAAAUCAGAACUGGAAUCUGUAUACACCACCAUAAGAUGUUUUGAUGAUUGGAUCAAGAAUCAUUUUAAUACAUAAGUUUUUUAGGCAAGCAGUUUCUAUCCAAAUCUACCGUGCAACAGCAUUGUGAUGACUGAAUAUUGAAUUGGAUAUCUACUAAAUCUACCAUUAAACUUGUGUCGCACCCAUUAUGUUAUUUUGUUCCUUAUUUUUGGCAUUUUGUAAUAGGAAAGUGUAAUAGCGCCAACAUUGUAAUAUCGGAAUAAUGAUGGAAAGAAACAGAGAUGUGCAUUUAGGAGGCCUUUUCAGAAAUCAUCAUCAUCAUUUAAUGGGCAAGUGCCAAAGUAUUUCAGUUCUAAUUGUAUCUGCAUGCAUAGAUCAUUAAGAAUUAAGUAAAACUAAUAUCAGAGUGGUAUUAAAAACAACUCAUCUCCUGUGGGCACUCCCCGUAGGAUAAAGAUACAAAACAUAACUUUUAAGAUGGAAAAUCAAAACAAACACUCCCACUUUUUACGGUAUAUUGUACUUAAUUGUCUAUUUAUCCAAAAAAAAAAUUGUUGUAUUUGUUAGUUUCUAUAUAUUUAAAAAAAUUAGAAAAUGACAGAGGAAGUGUUUGUUUAACUUAAUAAUUGAAGAAAUAAAAACUCUAAAAUGACUACUCUGACCCGCAAUGACUUCCAAGUCAAUGAUCCACUUCAACAGAAGGGUUUGAAAUUUCUUCCUUUGACAAACUAGGAGUCUAGGACCACAAUCAAAGCUUAAUUUCACUCACCAAAACCUUGUCUCAACUCUUCAUUUGACUACAAAUAUUCAUCCAAGUAUAUCUCCUUUAUACUAAGCCUAUGUGACCACUGUAGACUGAACACAAGUUAGAAUGAAAUCAUCCAUGGGAAUGGGGUGGUUGUUUCCUCUGUGUUGCCAUUUUCUGCUCUUUCAUUUUUCAUUCUCCCAUUCCUUCUGUCACCCCCAUGACAACCUUGCUCUUAAUAAUACUAUGUAUACCUAUUAUUUUCGUUAUGAUGAUGAUGAUGAAUUGCCAUCAGGUUUAUCCAACUAUAGCAACAUGGGAAAAUGGAACAAAUUGCUGCUCUUGGUCUGGUGUCACAUGCCACCCCAUUUCUGGUCAUGUGACUGCCAUCGACCUUACAUGUGGUGGGCUUCAGGGUAAAAUCAAUGCAAACAGUACCCUUUUCAGUCUUUCUCAUAUGCAAUCACUCAAUCUUGCUUUCAAUGACUUCUCUAACUCUCAGAUUCCAUCUCCAAUAGGUGAGUUUGUGAACCUCACACACCUCAACUUGUCUUUUUCAAACUUUCAAGGUGAAAUUCCUCCCCAAAUCUCACAUCUUUUCAAAUUGCAAUCACUGGAUCUCUCUCCCUCACACUAUGAUGAGUUUCAGUUAAAGUGGAAGGAAGGCACAUGGAAGAGGAUGCUCCAAAAUGUAACCGAAUUAAGGGUGCUAGUUUUGAAUUAUAUAGAUUUGUCAUCAACUUCAAUGAGUUCACUCAAUUUGUCUUCCUCUCUGAUCACUCUAAGUCUUGAUGGAACUGGGUUGAAGGGAAAGUUGACAGAUGACAUUCUUUGUUUGCCAAAUCUACAACACCUAGAUCUAUCAGGUAAUUUUCUUCAUGGCCAACUUCCAAGCCUGAGUUGUAGUUCAGCUUCUCUCAACGUCUUACAAAUCUCAUAUUGUGAAUUACAAGGGCCAAUCCCUCCUUCUUUCUCUAACCUCACAAGUCUUACUUUGUUGGAUCUCUCAUUCAAUUACCUCAAUGGUUCAAUUCCAUCCUCACUCUUAACCCUUCCGCGUCUAAAUGUUUUGCUUCUCCGUUAUAAUCAUCUUAGUGGUCAAAUACCAAAUGUAUUUCAUCAAUCAAACAGAUUUGAAGAAUUGGAUUUAAGAGAGAACAAUAUCCAAGGUGAGCUGCCAUCAACAAUUUCAAAUCUUCAACACCUCAUUCACUUGGAUAUAUCACGUAACAAAUUAGAGGGACCUCUGCCCAACAAAAUAGCAGGGUUUUCAAAUCUAGCUUUUUUAUUAUUGAAUGACAACUUGCUAAAUGGUACAAUUCCUUCUUGGUGUUUCUCUUUGCCAUCGUUGGUGAAUUUAUAUCUAUCGAAUAAUAAGUUCACGGGUCAUAUACCUGCAAUCUCAUCAUAUUCCUUGCAGGGUCUAUCUUUGGGUGGCAAUAAGCUACAGGGCAAUAUUUCAGAAUCAAUUUUCAACCUUGUCAACCUUACUUAUUUAUCUCUGUCAUCGAACAACUUCAGUGGUUCUGUCAAUUUUUCACUUUUCUCCAAGUUCCAAAAUCUUGAAAGACUUUACCUUUCAAAUUUAGGUCAAUUAUCACUAAACUUUGAAUCAAGUGUCAAUUAUAGUUUCUCCCGCUUAGAGAUGUUGGACUUGUCUUCUUUGGGUUUAACCGAAUUUCCAAAAUUAUCAAGAAAAGCAGUUUUGGAAUCUCUCAUUUUGUCCAACAACAAAUUGAAUGGGAAAGUUCCCAAUUGGUUGCAUGAAAUAGAUUCUUUACAUGCUGUAAACCUAGCCCAAAACUCUUUGACAACACCAGUGGACCAAUUCUCUAGGAACUACCAACUCAGAUAUCUUGAUCUAAGUUACAACUUACUCACUGCUGGCAUCUCUUCAUCAAUUUGCAAUGCAAGUUCACUUCAGGCUCUCGUGUUGUCCAACAACAAGUUGACAGGCACCAUUCCGCCUUGCGAGUUCAUCGUCUCUUGCAAUUUUGAAUCUAGAAAUGAACAGACUUAAUGGAACUUUGCCAAAUACCUUUUCAAAGAACAGUGUCAUGACGAGUCUGAAUCUCAAUGACAACCGAUUAGAAGGUUCUUUGCCAGAAUCUUUAUCCAACUGGAGCUUUUAAAUCUUGGCAACAAUCAAAUAGAAGAUACAUUUCCCCACUGGCUUCGAACUCUACCGUAUUUGAAAGUGUUGGUUUUGCGGGCUAAUAAGUUGCAUGGUCCCAUUUCCAUAUUCAAGACCAAGCAUGGAUUUCCCAGUUUGAAAAUUUUUGAUAUCUCAUCCAACAACUUCAGCGGCCCAAUUCCAGAAGACUUCAUACAAAGUUUUGAAUCCAUGAAGAAUAUUGUUCAAGAUGCGGUGGUUAUCCACAGCAAUACAUGCAAUGGCCAUCUAUUAUUUCACUAUAUUAUUAUUCUCCUACGACUGUAACAACAAAAGGCACGAGUGUGCUAUUCAAAAGAAUUCCAACAAACUUUGUGAUCAUUGAUUUAUCAAGAAACAAAUUUGAAGGAGAGAUUCCAAAUGCAAUUGGAGAGCUUAAAGCACUCAUUGGACUGAACCUCUCCCACAAUAGACUCAGUGGUCCUAUUCCCCAAUCCAUGAGAAAUCUUAUUAAAUUGGAGUCUUUGGAUCUCUCUUCAAAUAUGCUGACUGGUAGGAUUCCUACAGAAUUGGUGAAUAUGAACUUUCUUGAAGUGCUGAAUCUUUCCUAUAAUAAUCUUGUGGGAGAAAUACCUCAAGGAAAGCAGUUUGGUACUUUUACGAAUGAUUCCUAUGAGGGAAACUUGGACUUAUGUGGAGUGAAAUGUAGGGAAAAGCAUGAUGAUCAACCUUCUCCACCUUCACAAACAUUGUGGAGAGAAGACAAAUUUGGAUUUGGUUGGGAAGCAGUGGCUAUAGGAUAUGGUUGUGGAAUGGUGUUUGGAGUGGUGAUGGGAAGCUUUGUAUUUCUUAUUGGAAAGCCUAAAUUGCUUGUGAGAAUGUUUG
This 24292-nucleotide long non-coding RNA is filed under the name Phaseolus vulgaris (common bean). RNAcentral describes it as "long non-coding RNA (PVUL_LNC001925)". Lineage: Eukaryota; Viridiplantae; Streptophyta; Magnoliopsida; Fabales; Fabaceae. The record is from RNAcentral.